GAUGAACGCUGGCGGCGUGCCUAAUACAUGCAAGUCGAGCGAAUGGAUUAAGAGCUUGCUCUUAUGAAGUUAGCGGCGGACGGGUGAGUAACACGUGGGUAACCUGCCCAUAAGACUGGGAUAACUCCGGGAAACCGGGGCUAAUACCGGAUAACAUUUUGAACCGCAUGGUUCGAAAUUGAAAGGCGGCUUCGGCUGUCACUUAUGGAUGGACCCGCGUCGCAUUAGCUAGUUGGUGAGGUAACGGCUCACCAAGGCAACGAUGCGUAGCCGACCUGAGAGGGGGAUCGGCCACACUGGGACUGAGACACGGCCCAGACUCCUACGGGAGGCAGCAGUAGGGAAUCUUCCGCAAUGGACGAAAGUCUGACGGAGCAACGCCGCGUGAGUGAUGAAGGCUUUCGGGUCGUAAACCUCUGUUGUUAGGGAAGAACAAGUGCUAGUUGAAUAAGCUGGCACCUUGACGGUACCUAACCAGAAAGCCACGGCUAACUACGUGCCAGCCGCCCGCGGUAA
This 516-nucleotide ribosomal RNA is filed under the name uncultured bacterium. RNAcentral describes it as "partial 16S ribosomal RNA". It matches the Rfam family "Bacterial small subunit ribosomal RNA", at positions 28 to 523 of the family's 1533-position model. The record is from RNAcentral.